UUGUCUAUUAAUUGUAGACCAGUAUGAAAGGCAAAAUGAGGGCCUAACUGUCUCUUAUAAUCAAUCAAUUAAACUGAUCUCCCAGUACAAAAGCUGGAAUACUCACAUAAGACCAGAAGACCCUGUGAAGCUUAAACUAAACUAUUAAACCAUAUAAUAGCUCCUUUCGGUUGGGGCGACCUUGGAAAAAAAAAGAACUUCCAAACAUAUAGACUCUUAAACCUACCUAUUAGGCCAACAAGCCAAACAACGACCCAGCACCGCUGAUUAAUGAAACAAGUUACUCCAGGGAUAACAGCGCUAUCUUCUUCAAGAGCCCAUAUCAAAAAGAAGGUUUACGACCUCGAUGUUGGAUCAGGACAUCCUAAUGGUGCAGCCGCUAUUAAGGGUUCGUUUGUUCAACGAUU
Molecule: ribosomal RNA, 407 nt
Filed under: Malpolon monspessulanus (Montpellier snake)
Lineage: Eukaryota; Metazoa; Chordata; Lepidosauria; Squamata
Description: partial 16S ribosomal RNA
Rfam family: Bacterial large subunit ribosomal RNA
Source: RNAcentral